AGCACCCGGGUGACGGGAGGCACACCGCAGUGCGUGGCAUCACAGGGCGCAGCAACCCCGCCACGCUCUGCGUGUGGGGAGAAGCCAAGCAGCCUCCACCUAUCCCAUGCCAAUGCCGAGCGAACCGCUGGUGGUGACGGGGCCCAGCACCCACGACGUAGGGGAGUCAGAGCGGUGCAUCGCUACGGAUGUCGGCGGUCGGGUCCUGGACGGCGGUGCGUCGGAGCGGCCUGCGACGGCGCACGUGCUUGCGCCUUUUAUAUGUGGCAGGCAGAGCUUCAACGCGACUUGAGCGUGCCCCACACACCAGGCCCUCGCACUGCCCACCUGGUGGGAGGAGCCCCGAGUGUCGCGCCGAGGGACGCCACCAGGGGUGGCGACCGGGGAUGGUGGGCGCGGCUGUGAGGCGACCCGCAACGCGGGUGAGUGGGUAGAGGUUUGGGGCAGGGGCUGUGCGCCGGUGACCGUGUCGGCGCACUGCUGCAACUCGUGUCUACGGCUUCUUCGCAGCACGGGAUGAGACCUGUGACUCGCCGGUUGGUGGGGGUGGGGGGCUCAAGAGCGGUGUGGAGCUCGUGUCGCACGGUACAGAAGGUGGACACGCUGCAAGAGAAAAGUGUCAUUGUGCCACGAACACGCAAGAAGUAUACGCGCAUGCAGCACCACAGCUCAUCUUCCUCUUCUGAACUGCGGUUGUGCCAAAGGCACCGGGCCCACCAACACGGCUCGGCGUCGUUCAGUCCACUGCAGGCAGCGCGGACUCAGUCCGGGAUCACGCUUAACAUCGCGCUGCGGCGCGCCCAGAACUGCAUGUGGACGAGCGUAUUUGUUGAAUUGUGAGCAGGAUGCGUAGUAAGCUGGCACAAACGCCAGGAUGACCGCGAGUCCAAUACGGGACACCACCAGCCCAGACCUGUCCGCCGGUACCAAGAGCCCGCUCUCCCAUCGCCGAGGGCGGGCUGCAGACUCUUCGCUUCCCCACAGAGUGAGUGCCAGACUCCGACACGACGCACGGAAGAGGAGGAGAUCAGCAGGACCCCCAAUGGGAAGUAAGGACAGCAUCGGUGUGUCUGGCGCGACGCGAGCCCUCGUCGCUGCCCUUUCCUUUUAGUGCGUGCGUGCUCCGGUGCUGGAUGGGUGGGUGCAUUGUAGGGGGUUCCCCUCAUUCCCUUCCUCCUGGCCUGUUCACCUUGGCCAAAGUCGCAGCAGAGCCCCUCCGGCUUUCCUUCGACCUCUCGUUCCCGUCUCUCGCUUGGGCGGUAGCUGCCCUCAAGUCGUUGCUCCUUUCCUCCCCUUUCUCUCUCUUCGCUUUUUGGCCUAUGGUUUAUGAGCGUGCGCACUCGGAUGGAGCGCUUCCGUCUUGCUGCGCGCUUAUACGCAUCUUUCCUAAGGGAAGGUUCUUGCGGCACGUAUGAUGGGCCACGGCUGUGCGCCGGCAGCCCCGGCGAAGUCCUCGCUCUCUCUCUCCCGCUUCACUGUUGUGAAGCCGCGGCUGAUGCCGCUGCGUCACAUGCAACGGUGCGUGCGUUCAGCCGUUCUUACGCUUACUCACCUCCGCAUCUCUCCGUUCUCCCUCUUCUUAAAUCUCCAUCAUCGUAUGAACACUCGCACACAUACACACACACACACAUAUAUAUAUAUAUAUGCCAUCACACGGUUGCGUCGGCUGCACAG
This 1674-nucleotide unclassified non-coding RNA is filed under the name Leishmania donovani. RNAcentral's name for it is "gene:unknown". Lineage: Eukaryota; Euglenozoa; Kinetoplastea; Trypanosomatida; Trypanosomatidae. The record is from RNAcentral.